Molecule: ribosomal RNA, 392 nt
Filed under: uncultured bacterium
Lineage: Bacteria
Description: partial 16S ribosomal RNA
Rfam family: Bacterial small subunit ribosomal RNA
Source: RNAcentral
AUACGGAGGAUCCGAGCGUUAUCCGGAUUUAUUGGGUUUAAAGGGUGCGCAGGCGGCCAUUUAAGUCAGCGGUUAAAUCGUGGGGCUCAACCCCAUUCUGCCGUUGAUACUGGGUGGCUUGAUUGCGGUCGAGGUUGGCGGAAUUCGUUGUGUAGCGGUGAAAUGCAUAGAUAUGACGAAGAACACCGAUUGCGUAGGCAGCUGACCAGACCGCAAAUGACGCUCAUGCACGAAAGUGCGGGGAUCGAACAGGAUUAGAUACCCUGGUAGUCCGCACAGUAAACGAUGAAUACUUGUUUUCGGCGAUAUAAUGUCGGAGGCAAAGCGAAAGCGAUAAGUAUUCCACCUGGGGAGUACGACCGCAAGGUUGAAACUUAAAUGAAUUGGCGGGG